Molecule: non-coding RNA, 134 nt
Organism: Triticum aestivum (bread wheat)
Lineage: Eukaryota; Viridiplantae; Streptophyta; Magnoliopsida; Poales; Poaceae
Source: Rfam
UAACUAUUACCUCCGUCCCAAAAAGCUUGUUUAGAUUUAUCUAGAUACAGAUGUAUCUAACACUAGAACGUCUCUAGAUACAUCCGCAUCCAGACAAAUCAAAGACAAGCUUUUUGGGAUUGAGGGAGUAUUUG